Molecule: ribosomal RNA, 246 nt
Filed under: Salmonella enterica subsp. enterica serovar Infantis
Lineage: Bacteria; Pseudomonadati; Pseudomonadota; Gammaproteobacteria; Enterobacterales; Enterobacteriaceae
Also listed under: 19 other names
Description: partial 16S ribosomal RNA
Rfam family: Bacterial small subunit ribosomal RNA
Source: RNAcentral
AAAUUGAAGAGUUUGAUCAUGGCUCAGAUUGAACGCUGGCGGCAGGCCUAACACAUGCAAGUCGAACGGUAACAGGAAGCAGCUUGCUGCUUUGCUGACGAGUGGCGGACGGGUGAGUAAUGUCUGGGAAACUGCCUGAUGGAGGGGGAUAACUACUGGAAACGGUGGCUAAUACCGCAUAACGUCGCAAGACCAAAGAGGGGGACCUUCGGGCCUCUUGCCAUCAGAUGUGCCCAGAUGGGAUUA